Molecule: ribosomal RNA, 388 nt
Filed under: Nupela indonesica
Lineage: Eukaryota; Bacillariophyta; Bacillariophyceae; Naviculales; Nupelaceae
Description: SSU rRNA
Rfam family: Eukaryotic small subunit ribosomal RNA
Source: RNAcentral
GCUCGUAGUUGGAUUUGUGGCGAUUCCUGAUGUCCAAUUUUGGUACGUUCGGGCGUUGCCAUCCUUGGGUGGAUCCUGUGUGGCAUUAGGUUGUCGCGCAGGGGAUGCCCAUCGUUUACUGUGAGAAAAUUAGAGUGUUCAAAGCAGGCUUAUGCCGUUGAAUAUAUUAGCAUGGAAUAAUAAGAUAGGACCUCGGUACUAUUUUGUUGGUUUGCGCACCGAGGUAAUGAUUAAUAGGGACAGUUGGGGGUAUUCGUAUUCCAUUGUCAGAGGUGAAAUUCUUGGAUUUCUGGAAGACGAACUACUGCGAAAGCAUUUACCAAGGAUGUUUUCAUUAAUCAAGAACGAAAGUUAGGGGAUCGAAGAUGAUUAGAUACCAUCGUAGUCA